UGUCCCUUUAAAUUCAGUCCAGAGAGGCUGGCAAGGGAGGUAAUAAAUCGCGUGCAGCACAGAAAGACCUGUGUGCGCGUGUGCCUCCACGGCCUCUUUUGCUAAAGCAAGAGAGGUUUUUUAAU
Regulatory RNA element from Fictibacillus arsenicus, 125 nucleotides. It matches the Rfam family "PyrR binding site". From Rfam's summary of the family: This family represents the PyrR binding site and terminator structure. This RNA structure is found upstream of a variety of genes involved in pyrimidine biosynthesis and transport. The alignment also includes a portion of the antiterminator structure. The record is from Rfam. NCBI's taxonomy places the organism in Bacteria, Bacillati, Bacillota, Bacilli, Caryophanales, Fictibacillaceae.